CACAUUUUUUUUUUUUUUUACAAAGAAACAAAGUUGGUGAUUUAAUACUAUUAUUAUUAUUAAAAAUAAACAAUCCUCCAAAAAUUAUUCUGAACUGCCGCCAUGGGUGAGUUAAAAAGUCACAUGAUCUAGAGAACAAGAGUUCCCCCACCAGUGAGCAAACAGCAGGUUGCCAGGACACCAACGCGGAGAAGCAGGGUUUGCCAAGAGGAUAAACAGCAGCAGGUCACCCAGGGAACCAGGACAACAUGCGAGUCUGGAGUGAGCUGCAGAACGUGAAUUCUCUACUACUGUGACAUCUGGGAAGCUGCCUGGAAAUGGAUAUACUGGUAGAGUCUCUUGGUGAUACUGUGGAGCCGAGAAAAGUAUACCAGAAACAAGGAGGUCAAGGAAGUAGGAGGCAGGAAACUCAUAAGAAUUAACAAGCCUAUCACGUGGACUCACUAAAUCUGCCAUACUUCGUGCUCCUGUCAGAUGUUAUUAGCACAAGGAAGAAGCAAUGCAUUCAGUAUAAGAAAACAUCUUCUCAGCCUGUCUUUAGCACAAAUUCAAACAUUCUUUCAAUGUGUAUGUCUGUGAAGAAGGAGCCCAUCAAAAUCCACUGGGAAGUUUGAAGGACGCUGGACACUGAUGUUAAAGGGGAUUACACUAAAGCAGACAUCCUGAGUAGUCAGUAAAAACAAAGCAAGAAACUACAGAAAGCAUUUGUAAAAAAUAUGGAAUGAAGAUGUGAUGGCUGAAGCAUGUGCAGCCACAUUGGACCAUGAGGUGAAAAUCCCAUACUUAGGAUGGCAGAGUGACAUCACAAAAGAUGGCAAAGUCCUUGAUACUACAGAGGUGCCACAGCAGCAUGGACCUCUACACAAGGUAGAAAUAAAAUCUAUUUUCUUUCA
Odocoileus virginianus texanus is the source of this 893-nucleotide long non-coding RNA. RefSeq lists it as uncharacterized. Lineage: Eukaryota; Metazoa; Chordata; Mammalia; Artiodactyla; Cervidae. The record is from RefSeq and is a predicted model, not a curated record.